Xenopus tropicalis (tropical clawed frog) is the source of this 1441-nucleotide long non-coding RNA. RefSeq lists it as uncharacterized. NCBI's taxonomy places the organism in Eukaryota, Metazoa, Chordata, Amphibia, Anura, Pipidae. The record is from RefSeq and is a predicted model, not a curated record. The transcript has 5 exons.
CUGUGGUUUACCCUUGCCUCCAGGACUAGAAGGACUUUGCUUGGAGGUGGACAAACAGAGCAGCAACGAGAAGACAGCAGCAGAUUGCAAGAUAUGAUCAAUGGAGCUGAUUCUUUAGACGACCUUGGGAUACUCUUCAUUUAUUUACCCAAAUGAAACGCCUGUUGCGUGCAGAGAGGAACAAAAGAAAAAUGAACAGCCACUGUGUUAAAGGUUCUCCUGGAGACCCACCUUAUCUGCCAGCAACAUAGACACUAAUCUGAGAUUAUAAUUUCAAGAGUUUGUCAGUGGGGGCACCCUGGAGCAUCAGCUGAAGAUACAUGGCUGCCUUGAGAUGACCGGAAUAGUCAACUGAAAAGCCCCUUUUCAUGGCGGCACUGAGUAGAUUUGAGAGACGAGUGAAUGGGCAGAAACAAGGGGUGAAGCCUUGACGUGGUAUUACUGCUCACAUGUAUAAGCAUAUAUUACAUCUAUUAACAUAAGGAUAUAUCAAAGAUUCUAAACAUCCAUGAAAUAUAUUAUAUAAAAUUGCUUUCAAACAAGUUUGUGUGAUUAUUGGAAUAGCCUGGAAGUCUCCAUGUGAGCCAUUUAAAAUUAUCAUUGUAAGAAAUUAAUGAUGCCCAUGAAAAGAUCUCUUUUUAGUAGACUUAUGUAGGAUUUCUUUUUUUUAAAAAAAAACUACUGUCUGGUUAUUGACAUUUUCUGUAGUCAAUUUUAAGAUAGGAAAAGCUUUCCCACCCAGGGGCUGGCUGAAAGAAGGGUCAAUGGCCAAUGGUCUCAGCUUUGCCAUAGGCUCAUUAGACUUCACUCAUGAUGACACCUUUUAAUAGAAUCUACUAAUGUCUUAACUAUGGGGUGCAUACUCAACAGGAGAGCUCUGAUAUAGAUUUUCAGACUAUGCUUAAUGUACUACUUUUCUAAUGCAAUGUCUAAAUCACGUUAUAUCUCAGCGUACUGGAGAGGCCUUAAGCAUAAACCUGAUUAGGAAUUUACGUGCCUGAUUUUUAGGGUAACUUCUGUUAACUAGGUAACUGUUUUGUUGUUUGUUACAAUGCCCCGUUGAAGAUAGGUGCUACUAAAGAUAGGUGCAACUGGAACAGCAGGUCUGUAAAUUUUGGGAAACAUUAUAGGUCCAUGCUUGUCCUUUUGCCACAAUGUACUGCUGAGUAGUUCUGCAAUACUAUUGCAUGGCAUAGUCUUGGUUAGAGAGACAGAUCUGUGGUUUGGGGGUGGGACACACCCAAUGCUGACUGCUUGUAAGGGGAAUAUAACUAUACUGAAGGGCUUUGUGAUGUCGCAAGGAAGCCUGUAACUUAGCAGCCAUAGAAUAAUUAAGUCUUUGGCAAGACAGAACUGCAAGCUAGUUACACUUUUAGAGCAAUAAGUAAACAGACAAUACUUGUAUUUAACUCUAAAAAAAAUACUUAACUCUGGAGCGCCC